CAUGCCGUAAACGAUGAGUGCUAAGUGUUGGAGGGUUUCCGCCCUUCAGUGCUGCAGCUAACGCAUUAAGCACUCCGCCUGGGGAGUACGAUCGCAAGAUUGAAACUCAAAGGAAUUGACGGGGGCCCGCACAAGCGGUGGAGCAUGUGGUUUAAUUCGAAGCAACGCGAAGAACCUUACCAGGUCUUGACAUACCAUGACAAACUAAGAGAUUAGUCUUUCCCUUCGGGGACAUGGAUACAGGUGG
Molecule: ribosomal RNA, 247 nt
Filed under: uncultured Lactobacillus sp.
Lineage: Bacteria; Bacillati; Bacillota; Bacilli; Lactobacillales; Lactobacillaceae
Description: partial 16S ribosomal RNA
Rfam family: Bacterial small subunit ribosomal RNA
Source: RNAcentral